GUUGAAAGACACUUCACAACAUACUUGUGAUUUUUGGUCCUAUGCUGGUAGGAAGUUUAUAUUGUAGUGUGACGCAUUUAUUUCCUAUUUUGUUUCUGUAGACAUGGAUUUGAGCCUCUUGUUCCAGAGAAUGCACGCUUGCGGGGCCACGUAUCGCAGAGAAGCAAUCUGCGAUAUAUAAAAACAGUUGUCGAAUAUUUUGACGAGCGACAGCGGGCAGACUUUCGCAACUCAUGCCUUGGGUUCUUGUCCGAGGUUCCGGAUCUCCAAUUCUCUGCCCAAUUAAUCCAACAACUCGUAUUCUGCUGCAUACAAACAAAUAAGCGGCACGAACUGUGGUUUAAUUUGCAAGGCCACCUCGUCAGGUUCGGAAUUCAAGAAUAUGCCCUGGUCACAGGAUUAAGGUAUGGUCUUCUCCCGGAUGACAAUGUCGUGGACCGAGUUCUUGACAAGAGGAGACUAAAGGACAAAUACUUUAAACAUGUUGACAAGAUUUUAUGGUAUGGAUGAAUUUGGUCACGUUCUCUGGAUACGUGCAGAAACUGCAUCUCCAUAAUAGGCAAUCGCAGUAGUGUAGGUUUUCAAGCCGCUGUUGUUACCAACUGCCGAGAAUUACAGAGACUAUCUGUCGGAAACGACAUAUGAACUGUCGAGACGUAAUGUUGGUGUUUUGUUUGUUCACUAUGGUCUCAUGAAAAUCAAUUUUUCAUUUCGACAAACUGUCAGUCGAAGCUAAUGAAACUUCUAUGAUCGGCUAAGUUUAUAUUAAGAAAAAGGUAUUCAUCUCGUUUGUGAUAAUGGAACUGUAAUGAUCGGUACUUUGCUUGUGG
This 830-nucleotide long non-coding RNA is filed under the name Olea europaea subsp. europaea. The record is from RNAcentral. Lineage: Eukaryota; Viridiplantae; Streptophyta; Magnoliopsida; Lamiales; Oleaceae.